RNAcentral lists this transfer RNA (71 nucleotides) under Camelus bactrianus (Bactrian camel). It matches the Rfam family "tRNA". Rfam says of the family: Transfer RNA (tRNA) molecules are approximately 80 nucleotides in length. Their secondary structure includes four short double-helical elements and three loops (D, anti-codon, and T loops). Lineage: Eukaryota; Metazoa; Chordata; Mammalia; Artiodactyla; Camelidae. RNAcentral also lists the same sequence under 2 other names. The record is from Rfam by way of RNAcentral.
AGAGCUUCGCUCAGCGGUAGAGCGCAUGCUCAGCAUGCAUGAGGUCCUGGGUUCAAUCCCCAGCAGCUCCA